This 21-nucleotide unclassified non-coding RNA is filed under the name Mus musculus (house mouse). RNAcentral's name for it is "oocyte_clustered_small_RNA14308". The record is from RNAcentral. Lineage: Eukaryota; Metazoa; Chordata; Mammalia; Rodentia; Muridae.
UCCAGCAGAGACAGCAACCGC